GGUAUUUGAGGUGGUAAAAUUCGUAGCGACCACACGCCGCCGGUAACGACAGGAACUUCGGUUCUGAGAGAUGCAGGAGAAUGCUACGCCUGCCAAAUACC
Molecule: non-coding RNA, 101 nt
Filed under: unclassified sequences
Description: skipping-rope RNA
Rfam family: skipping-rope RNA
About the family: Firmicutes, Fusobacteria, AlphaProteobacteria, Spirochaetes. Downstream gene
Source: Rfam by way of RNAcentral